GUUGACCUCGGAUCAGGUAGGGAUACCCGCUGAACUUAAGCAUAUCAAUAAGCGGAGGAAAAGAAACCAACAGGGAUUGCCCUAGUAACGGCGAGUGAAGCGGCAACAGCUCAAAUUUGAAAGCUGGCCUUCGGGUCCGCAUUGUAAUUUGUAGAGGAUGCUUUGGGUGAAACGCCAGUCUAAGUUCCUUGGAACAGGACGUCAUAGAGGGUGAGAAUCCCGUAUGUGACUGGAAAUGUUAACCUAUGUAAAGCUCCUUCGACGAGUCGAGUUGUUUGGGAAUGCAGCUCUAAAUGGGAGGUAAAUUUCUUCUAAAGCUAAAUAUUGGCGAGAGACCGAUAGCGCACAAGUAGAGUGAUCGAAAGAUGAAAAGCACUUUGGAAAGAGAGUUAAAAAGCACGUGAAAUUGUUGAAAGGGAAGCGCUUGCAAUCAGACUUGUUUAAACUGUUCGGCCGGUCUUCUGACCGGUUUACUCAGUUUGGACAGGCCAGCAUCAGUUUCGGCGGCCGGAUAAAGGCUCUGGGAAUGUGGCCUUCACUUCGGUGAAGGUGUUAUAGCCCAGGGUGUAAUACGGCCAGCCGGGAC
Molecule: ribosomal RNA, 586 nt
Filed under: Aureobasidium pullulans
Lineage: Eukaryota; Fungi; Ascomycota; Dothideomycetes; Dothideales; Saccotheciaceae
Description: partial large subunit ribosomal RNA
Rfam family: Eukaryotic large subunit ribosomal RNA
Source: RNAcentral